Non-coding RNA from Triticum aestivum (bread wheat), 135 nucleotides. NCBI's taxonomy places the organism in Eukaryota, Viridiplantae, Streptophyta, Magnoliopsida, Poales, Poaceae. The record is from Rfam.
AAAGUACUCCCUCUGUCCCAAAAUUCUUGUCUUAAAUUUGUCUAGAUACUUCUGUUUCAAGUCACAUUUUAGUAUUAGAUACAUCCGUAUCUAGACAAAUCUAAGACAAGAAAUUUGGGACAGAGGGAGUAGUUG